UACGUAGGGUGCAAGCGUUGUCCGGAAUUAUUGGGCGUAAAGAGCUCGUAGGCGGUUUGUCGCGUCUGCUGUGAAAACUCGGGGCUUAACUCCGGGCCUGCAGUGGGUACGGGCAGACUAGAGUGCGGUAGGGGAGACUGGAAUUCCUGGUGUAGCGGUGAAAUGCGCAGAUAUCAGGAGGAACACCGAUGGCGAAGGCAGGUCUCUGGGCCACUACUGACGCUGAGACGCGAAAGCGUGGGGAGCGAACAGG
Molecule: ribosomal RNA, 253 nt
Filed under: uncultured bacterium
Lineage: Bacteria
Description: partial 16S ribosomal RNA
Rfam family: Bacterial small subunit ribosomal RNA
Source: RNAcentral